AAACUUGGAGCUAAACAAAAAAAGGUGGUUCACCCGCUGUGAGCUGAAAGCAGCUGAGGACCUGUGUCUUACAGUGAUUCAGAUGUAGAGAAGUGACUGUGGCCCCGGUGUACCUGGCACUGGGUGGAGCAGGGCUUGUCCUCCAAACUAAUGUGAUCAGUAUGUUUAGCACAUUCCUGCGUGGUCAGAAUGUGGGAAAGGGAAGGAGCCGCUGCCUAGAUAAAACAAAUCUUCCAGUAGAACCAGUUCAGCAAGCUUGUCUAGUCGCACUGAGCUGGUGUAGGUUGUUCUUUACUUGUCCGAGGUGCUCCCAUGCCUCGGCUGACGGUCGUCCACACCAAAGGUCAAGGGGGCACAGGACGGUGGGGAGAGGGCGAGCCGGGACUGUAAAUGGAUGGAGGAAGUGAAAGACGACGGGGAGGGAGAACCUGUCGAGCAGAGCAGUUCAAAUCAAACACCAGCUGAAGAUCAGCCACUCUUCACAUCUUGGUCCCGGGCCCUGCGGAGGACACUGCGGCCCUCGAGGGUCUGUUGGUACAGUCUUGUUCCGGUGGUUGUAGUGUGGUGCGUCUGCCAGGCAGAGGCGCCGCUGCACCCCUCUCUCCCACUGUCAGGUGUGUGCUGGAGGCUGCUGUUGGUGUGUUCACUGUGGAUGGUGCUGGCAGCCUGCGCUCACGCCCUGAAGUGCAGCCUGCGGCCAGGGCGGAACCAGGGGGACACUCCACAGAGCACACAGCGGGAGGUCGUGUCAGAAAACAGAAACAUCCAGUGGGUGUCCCAGUCGAGGAGCCCAGGCCUCCAUGUCCCUCUGGCCCUUGCCCUGGCCAACGGCCUGCUGCUGUGUGUCCUCCAGGAGCCCCUACCGGACCCCAGCAUCCCCUACAUUCUGGCUCUCCUGUCCAGGCUGGAGUCAGUGUCCCACGCACUUAAGGCUGAUCCUGGAUCAGAGGUGACACUGGACGAGACGGACGGAGACUCCGUAUUGACAGACAAAGUGAAGCUCAUCAGUGGCUACCUACAGCAGAGGAUGAGGUCACUGCGGACUCUGGUCCAGGUGCAGGGGGAUUUUGAGGCCAGCGUGAAGGACAUGCUGUCGGGCCUGGGCGGCCUCUGGGCUCAGCUGGAGGAGCUGCACACUGGGGUCACGCUCACCAAAGAGGGGGGUCGAGGCCACGGAGACCUGGCCUCGGCCCGCACGGACGCAGAGGAUUUGUUUGCGGUCCUGGGUGACUACAGGGACAGACUUCAGCGCUGCCAGACUCAUCUGAAGGACGGCACACGACAGCUCCAGGAGUUGGCGUGGAGUCACGCUCACACAAGGAAGCGCGUGAGCUGCAGCACUGAGUCCGUCUGGCCAGAGCUGUUGCUCCAGUCCAACAUUGAGCAGUUUGACAAGGUGCAGGAGAGUUUCCUCUCCCUGGAACAACAGACCUCUACGUUCCAGGCCCACCUGGAGGGACUUGGGAAGGGGAAUGAGGAAGGACAUGCAGGGCCCCUCGCUUACGCCAACGUGGCAAAUUCAUGCCCAGCCUCGCCGGUGCCCAGCCUCGACGGUGUUUCAAGUCAUGUGCCACUGGAGCAUUGUAACUCGACCUGUGCAUCAGCGUCUGCCCCCUCGGUGGACACGGACACAGACGCGGACACAGACCCUCCUCUCUCUCUGUGCGAGAGGUCGGCCCUGCAGUUCUCCUCCACCAUCGGACGCCUGCGCAAAUCUGGAAGGAGGAAGUGAUUUUCUUUUUUCCUUUGUCUGUCAAAUUUACUUGGCACCAUGUGUUUUGUAAAUAGAAGUUUGUUCAUUCUAUCAAAAUUGAGUAUUUAUCACCGUUUGUGAUUACAUGACUUUUCCAUAUGUAGAUUCACGACUCAUUUCCUUUUCAAUGUUUAAUUUCAAAGACGAGCAUGCACGGUUGGCUUUUUUGUUGUUGCAGGGAAUAUCUCGAACACAAGGGGGCACACUCUCACCGGUUAUUAUUCACGCUGACAGCAGUGUCCCACAGCACCCAUUAGACAUAUUAUACAGUUACACCACAGAUAUGGAUAUUUAACUGAGAUCUGUCUUCAAUGGCGCGAGACCUUUCUCCUUCAAUCGACCUUAACCUCAAACAAAUGGCCCUUAAGGGUGUUUUUCUGAAGGUCAGGUCAGCCACAACUUGUGUCUUAAGAAUCUCUAACGUGCCGGAUGAAAGAGAUUCAGGUACAUGUUAGGUGUUUCUUGUUUCAAGUACUUGUUUAUGUCAUCAACCAUCCUUUGUUCUUUAAAAAGAGCAAUGUGAUUUUGGACAUCCGUUGAUGCGUUGCUUUUAUUAUUAUUCGGCCACUUGGUUCAACACCUCAUCCAACGCUCUUUUCCCCAAUCUUUUUUCUUUCCUUCUCCAUUUGUAUAUAACAAAGUGUGUUCUUCGUAUGUGCAAGAGGAAUAAGUUACAUGUUCAAGAAAUACCAGAUUUGUUUCUCUUCCAAAACAAUUUUUUCAUUCUGUCUCUCCCUAUCAGACUGAGCCUUGACUUGAGCUCUUCAAAGCGGGGAUUCCAGGUCGAGGGGCAGCGGGGGGGAGGAAGGUAGAAAGGGGGCAGUGGAGGUCAACGCCGGAAGCGUUUCUGUUAUUACUAAAAAACUGAGCAGCCCUCUGGACCUUUUUGAAAGACAUGAAUGCCUUUGAUCCAAAUUCAAUUACCCCGCCGCUCCACACUGAAGGCAUAGAAGUUGACAGUUUUCUCCAGCGGGUUCCGGACUUCUCUGGCCCGAGCAAACAGAAUUACUGAUGAGAAUCAAUUCAUUCCUGGCUGCCGCGGGUUGCACUGGUUGUUGGGAGACUGUACAGUACGCAUGGCGUGUGGAUGUCGCUUGACCAUGGACUUGCCACUCACCAUCUGCCAGGCCCGGCAUCUGUCUGAUUCCCUCACACCGGGGGGGGGGAUUGGGAGAGGUGGGGCCGACCCCUGGGGGAUCUGGGGUGAAAGGAAUGCGAGCUGAAUGCUGCAGGAUCCGAGCUGUCACAACACCAAAGACACAAAAUGCACCAUGUCUGGACGGAUACAGGGGGAUGUCAAGACGUGGGAGGAGAGAAGGUGUGUGUUUGGCAAUUUGAAGUUAGCGACGAGGGCCGUGAACAGAAAGAAAAAAUGUUAUGACAUCGCACAUGAAUAUGUAACGUUUUCCACAGAAUCCGUCAUGAAUACACAGAACAGAAUGGCCUUGGAUGCUUUUGCGUUCAGGUCCAACAGGCAAAAGAAAAAAACGGAUUUUUUUCCAUUUAAGUGCUUUAAUACAUCAAUAAGGGAUGAGUUGAUUUUAUUAGAUGUGAAUGAAAAGCAGCGCUUUAUACAAAACAACCCCUGCUCAAUGUUCUCGUGGGGAACGUCUCGGCCUCGUCCAGAUGAACUCACGCCUCGCAUCGUUGGCAUGUGAUGUCAUGGCCAGCAGAGGGACGGUGUCGGGGGGGCAGAGGGCACCGGCUAUGUGCUCGCCGCCGAGAAUGUAAGAGUGAGCGAGUGAAAUUACCACUGGCUUUGUUUGGCUACACUAAAAAGUUGAUGACUAGCUUCCUCGCGGUCCACUCCGGUCCCGGAGCAGGGGCUAUUUCAAAGCCAGCUCAAGUGUGUGUUGUUUCAGAAAAUAGGGUUCAUGGCAGAGGUCAAUCCCUCGCCUUAUCCUGACAAUUACUCAAGAUUGGGUUUCGCCGGCGCGCACACGGCACACAUUUGUGCUGAUCCCUCCUCCGAUGGCACUGCGAGACACCGUGCAUCAGUAUGUACGGCUGCUGUCUGUUAUUGACAGACUUGAGGCCUCGUCACAAAACCUUCAUGAGAGCACAGUUUAAAACUUCCAAUUCUAUGGGAAGUUAGUUCCUGUGGACAAAUAAAUACCAAACAGAAGAGGCAGAGGAUACACAGGAGUCCUGUUGGCCUUUUCACUUGAUGGCAGUGAUAUGAUCCUCGGUUAGUAAAUGGCAACAGAGCCCUCUCCAAAAAGCUGUGUGUCUUCAUCUCGUGAUCUGAAGCGCGUAACAAUUACACCAUAUGACCUUGCAGUUCGUCGCACGAUGUUUGUAGAAACAGUGGUCUGACAAAGUGUUGAAAUAGUUUCUAAUUUCCAACCUGCUUCCACUUAAAUAAAACUAAAUUGGUUUGUGAUAGAAACUGCAUGGAAUCGCAACAGUCCCACUUGAUGCGGCCCUCGUUGGCUUUUCGGAGCCAACAGAGGAUAAAAAAGGGUUGAUUUUAUGUCGCGGAGCAGCUGUUUGCCACAGGCUGAAGCUAUAUAAGAUUCCAGUUUGACGUGAUCCCACUGGAUAAAAGAAGAAAAUGUGUUUAUCGUGAAAUGUUUUGGGCUCGCAGACCCCUUGUUCUGAAACGUUUUGUGGGUAUGUGGUUUAUUUAGUCAUCUGUGGGGCUGUGAUAUCAGACAGGGGUAAACCAAACCAACGAUGUACCGAUACGAUACAUACACAAGAACAACACAUACUUUGACAUAUAAUCAUGCUCAUCAAAUGACCAUGCUUUGAUAUAAUAUAGCAACCCAUCAUUGUACACUGUGUAUGCCACAUUGCACUUCAUUGCAUUACUAGUUUUGGGUUUAUAAAGUGCAUAACUUACUUGUAGAUAGAUAGAUAGAUAGAUAAAUACUUUAUUCAUCCCAAGCUGGACGGGAGCAUUGGAGGCAGCGAAGGUGUGUGGGGGGCAGGGAGUGUGGUAGACGAGUAUUUAUGUAUAUUUUAAACUUUCUGUGUUAGAUACUCUACGUGACCAUGCAAAUUGCCCCCUGGGGACAAAAUAAAGUGUUUUUAAUUAAGUUGAAAUACAAAAAGGUUUUUCCUCCAUUAAAACCUGUCUGUGCCAAACCCGAACAAACAUUUGGGCCGGCAGGUGUCUGCUCCACAUGCCAGUCCGCACAAAACCACUGGAUGGCCUGGACGAAUGUUAAUUAUAGCCAAGAAACUGAGCUGUGCUGGCAUGCGAGUCGAACAAAGCGCCGCUCCCCCGGUGAAUCACAAACCAUCUGCAUGGCUGCUAUUAGAGGGUCUGGGCACAGAUAACGGAGGGGCCGCGACGUUUUCUAACCAGAGGCUGUUGGAAACGGAACGGACAGCUGCACAGUUGAGACAAAACAUCAAAAACGCCAGCCACAGAUGUACGCAAUUAGCAACAUGGUAGACAUUUGGGGCGCAAAGGUCCAUAAACGCACAAGUUAUUAUGGUUGAUCUAACGUGUCUGGAGGGGAGCCUGAACUCCACAACAUUAAUGGGGUUUUAAGUUUGGGUUGAAUCAUUCCUCUAUGCAGUCAGUGAAGGCUUUGCUGCGCCUAAAAUCUUUCUCAAACAUUUAAUAUCAAUAU
This 5337-nucleotide long non-coding RNA is filed under the name Scophthalmus maximus (turbot). Its description in RNAcentral is "lncRNA (ENSSMAG00000036199.1)". The record is from RNAcentral. Lineage: Eukaryota; Metazoa; Chordata; Actinopteri; Pleuronectiformes; Scophthalmidae.